RNAcentral lists this ribosomal RNA (408 nucleotides) under uncultured bacterium. Its description in RNAcentral is "partial 16S ribosomal RNA". It matches the Rfam family "Bacterial small subunit ribosomal RNA", at positions 28 to 526 of the family's 1533-position model. The record is from RNAcentral.
GACGAACGCUGGCGGCGUGCUUAACACAUGCAAGUCGAACGAAGUGGCGAACGGGUGAGUAACGCGUAAUCAACCUGCCAUUCAGAGGGGGACAACAGUUGGAAACGACUGCUAAUACCGCAUACUGAAGGAGGGGAUUGCGUCUGAUUAGCUAGUUGGAGGGGUAACGGCCCACCAAGGCGAGGAUCAGGCGGCGGGCUUGGAGGGUGAACGGCCACAUUUGGACUUAGACACGGCCCAGACUCCCACGGGUGGGAGGAGUGGGGAAUCUUCCGCAAUGGGCGAAAGUCUGACGGCGCAACGCCCCGUGAGUGAUGACGGCCUUCGGGUUUGAAAGCUCUGUUAAUCGGGACGCGGUACCGGAAUAGAAAGCCACGGCUAACUACGUGCCAGCAGCCGCGGUAAUUC